This 376-nucleotide ribosomal RNA is filed under the name uncultured bacterium. RNAcentral describes it as "bacterial SSU rRNA". It matches the Rfam family "Bacterial small subunit ribosomal RNA", at positions 523 to 898 of the family's 1533-position model. The record is from RNAcentral.
AUACGUAGGUGGCAAGCGUUGUCCGGAAUUACUGGGCGUAAAGCGCACGCAGGCGGUCUGUCAAGUCGGAUGUGAAAUCCCCGGGCUCAACCUGGGAACUGCAUUCGAAACUGGCAGGCUAGAGUCUUGUAGAGGGGGGUAGAAUUCCAGGUGUAGCGGUGAAAUGCGUAGAGAUCUGGAGGAAUACCGGUGGCGAAGGCGGCCCCCUGGACAAAGACUGACGCUCAGGUGCGAAAGCGUGGGGAGCAAACAGGAUUAGAUACCCUGGUAGUCCACGCCGUAAACGAUGUCGAUUUGGAGGUUGUGCCCUUGAGGCGUGGCUUCCGGAGCUAACGCGUUAAAUCGACCGCCUGGGGAGUACGGCCGCAAGGUUAAA